Long non-coding RNA from Lemur catta (Ring-tailed lemur), 553 nucleotides. RefSeq lists it as uncharacterized. The transcript is spliced from 3 exons. NCBI's taxonomy places the organism in Eukaryota, Metazoa, Chordata, Mammalia, Primates, Lemuridae. The record is from RefSeq and is a predicted model, not a curated record.
UCCUCCUCAAACUGUCUCCGCAACAGCCGCUCUGGCAACAGCCUAGCAACAACUGGCCAGAGGUUGUUGCCCACCUUGGUCCUUCCAGACCCUUUGUAGUCAUGGGGUCACGGAGCUGGAAGUGCCCAUAGAUCAAUCUAGAUAUGAGGGGGGUGACAUUUGAUCUGCGAUCUGAAGAACGAAAGGUUUAAGUCAGCGUGUGUGGAGGAUGGUGCAAGAAAUGGAAAGCGGUGAAGAUGAGAUUGGAGAAGGAGAAAAAGGCCAGGUGGGAACCUUGAAGCUCAAGGCUCAGACCAGAUGGCCCCUGAGAUAAAAGACACCUUGACUAUUACAUCCUUAAUGUGGAAUGUUAAAUAUAACCUUCCCAAUAAAGAAACACUGUGUAUAACCAAUCAAAUUGCCACAACUAUGCAUUAAUCUUAUAUGGAAAAUGUUUAAAUCCUGUUAAGUUUGCCCACAUGCUGCCUAUAUAAACAACCCUCAAACCUCUCCACUUUGGAGCAGUGACCCAUCUUUUUGGAGUUUGUGUCCUCCCAGGUGACAAUCCUCAAAC